This 237-nucleotide ribosomal RNA is filed under the name uncultured euryarchaeote. Its description in RNAcentral is "partial 16S ribosomal RNA". It matches the Rfam family "Archaeal small subunit ribosomal RNA", at positions 341 to 580 of the family's 1478-position model. The record is from RNAcentral. Lineage: Archaea; Methanobacteriati; Methanobacteriota.
GCGAACCUUUACAAUGCACGAAGUGUGAUAAGGCAACUCCUUGUGCUUAUACCAAAGAUAGGUCUUUUUAGUAUGUAAUGUAUACUAAGAAUAAGUGAUGGGCAAGACCGGUGCCAGCAGCCGCGGUAAUACCGGCGUCACAAGUGGAGAUCGCGAUUACUGGGUCUAAAGUGUUCGUAGCUGGUCAUAUAAGUCUCUUGUAGAAAGUUCUGUAGCUUAACUCAGAAUUGACAAGGA